Molecule: ribosomal RNA, 332 nt
Filed under: uncultured bacterium
Lineage: Bacteria
Description: bacterial SSU rRNA
Rfam family: Bacterial small subunit ribosomal RNA
Source: RNAcentral
UGCGCAGGCGGUCCCGCAAGUCAGGCGUGAAAUCCCCGGGCUUAACCUGGGAAUGGCACUUGAAACUACGGGACUAGAGUGUGGCAGAGGGAGGUGGAAUUCCACGUGUAGCGGUGAAAUGCGUAGAUAUGUGGAGGAACACCAAUGGCGAAGGCAGCCUCCUGGGUCAACACUGACGCUCAUGCACGAAAGCGUGGGGAGCAAACAGGAUUAGAUACCCUGGUAGUCCACGCCCUAAACGAUGAUGACUAGUUGUUGGAGGAGUUAAAUCCUUUAGUAACGCAGCUAACGCGAGAAGUCAUCCGCCUGGGGAGUACGGUCGCAAGAUUAAA